RNAcentral lists this long non-coding RNA (1372 nucleotides) under Ornithorhynchus anatinus (platypus). RNAcentral describes it as "lncRNA (ENSOANG00000046891.1)". Lineage: Eukaryota; Metazoa; Chordata; Mammalia; Monotremata; Ornithorhynchidae. The record is from RNAcentral.
GACUAGGACAGGACUUGGGACGAAGUAAGGGCUCCAAAAUAUAAGAACUUUUAUAGUGAUAACAUGUCCUUUAAGCCAGCUGUGGGUUGUAAACUCGUUGUGGACAAGGAGCGUGCCUACCAACUCUGUUAUAAUGUACUCUUCCAACUGCUUAGUAUAGUGCUUUGCACAUAGUAAACACUCGAUAAGUACGAUUGAUGGAUUGGUUAGAUCCUUGAAGAGUGAAUCUGUACCUCUCUUUCCCUUGAUUUCCAGAGCCCAGCACCUCGGGGCCAGGAGAAUCUGCCAGGAGUGAAGCAACCCAGCCUUGAAGGAGUCUCUCCCGAAGUUGGGUCAGCUCAUGUCUCUAUUUGUUGCUGAACUGUACUUUCCAAGUGUUUAGUACAGUGCUCUGUACACAGUAAGUGCUCAAUAAAUUUGACUGGAUGAAUGAAUGACUACUUCCGUCCACCCCAAGCACUCGCCCUGUGCCAGGGGAACAGGAAAACAUUUGGACUGAGAGGAGGCUGGCCGGGGACGUCUAGCCCCAGGUAUGGGACCCUGGGCGGCACGGCUCGAAUUUACAAUCGGAUAAGACCUGGCCAACUAUACACACCUGAGUUAAAUGUAAUUUGUAAUGUGGUUUCUAAAAAAAAGCAGCCGGAAAAGAUCUGAUGUCAUUGGUCCUGGAUGCAGGUAAUCGGAGGGCUAGGACUUCUGAAAAGACUAUAUUCCCCCGUCUCCAGAGCUAAGGAGCCCAGCACUCUGCCCACAUUACUGCAACGGACUUUCUUCACAAAGGAAAAAUCGUUCCCUGGGCCUUGAAGUUGUUUCCUCUCUGUUUUCCCCUUCUGACUGGAGCACUGCUUCAUAGGAACUACUAAAGUGGUGGACUUUGGCAAUGGUCUGGGUGGGAGGGGGAGUUUGGACACAGACGUGACUUCGAAGACAAUGCCGAGCUCCACUGCUGUGUCAGACUGUGUGUGGGUGGCGGGGAGGGGGUGUUGAGUGAGAUUGUAGUGCAAGGGAAAGAGGGAGACGGGGUGAUAAUUGCCUUGGAUGGCCCGGGACAGCCAAACUGUGCAUUUUGAGGCAACCAAACUCGGUGAGAGCACGCCACAGAGCCCUGCGUAAUUCCUAUUCUCUUCGAUUUCCUCUCAGGGAGCCUGUCCAUAGGCCGCCUAGUUAAUGGUUUGCUGCCAAUACCAUAAAAAUGCUAACCUGUCUUUACAUCUAAUCCAUUCUGAAAUGGCUCCUUACAUAAAUAGCCUCUUCUGUUUCUUCAUUAAAAAAAAGCAAUCAAAUAAGAUUGAAUGGAACAAGCUGUUGCUGUGGCCUUCUUUUUAAUACAAUAAUGAAUUCUGAGACCACAUUUUGCGUUGUUGUCCUUGAG